Lemur catta (Ring-tailed lemur) is the source of this 1066-nucleotide long non-coding RNA. RefSeq lists it as uncharacterized. The record is from RefSeq and is a predicted model, not a curated record. NCBI's taxonomy places the organism in Eukaryota, Metazoa, Chordata, Mammalia, Primates, Lemuridae. The transcript is spliced from 3 exons.
UGUAAGCUGGGACUUCCUAUCAGCAGCCUGUGGCUUCCACGGAGACCCACCACGCUGAAUGCCUUCAGCCCUGGUUCCUUGGGCCACGUGAUGGCUGACGCAGGGGCACUCGUAUUUCCCUUCUUUGCAUAGUGUGUGCUGUCUCGAUGCCCAGUUCUGAUGCGGCUGAAUGACCCACUGCUCUAGGCUGAGAAAUGACCAUGGGAGUGGGCUGCAGCUGCACAGCUCCCUGAUUUCGGAUUAUUCUGGUAUUGAUUCCGUGCCGCCAGCUCUCUCCUCACUGGGCUUGCUCGGGGAGAAAGUCCUGGAGAACUUCUUUCUCACCUUUGCCCCGCCAGCUUCCCACCCGGGUGCAGGGAGCUCUGAAUCCUCUUCAGUUCUACACACCUUCCCAGGCCCUCAUCCCUGGGUCAUCGCAUUUUUCUCUGGAUAACACUUUCAUGGGACAACAACCCAUCUGCAAGCUGAAGCUCUCUGGCUUCAACUCAGCUGAAUACUUUGCUAAAAUCGCAAUGAUUGUUUCGGCUGGCGGCAAUCCAUUGAAGACGGGCUGUAAAGGCAACUCAAAUGUCUUGGGAAGCACUGACCCAGCAUCAUCACAGGGAAGGCACUGAGAAGCAUCAGCACUACAGCAUCAGAAACAAUACGAAGAGCUUUACCAUUUGUAAUGUGUUAUACUGGGUUGAACAGUGUCCCUCCAAAACUCACGUCUAUCCAGAACCUCAGAAUGUGACCUUAUUUGAAAAUAGGGUCUUUGUGGAAGUAAUUAGUUAAGAUGAAGUCAUACUGGAUCAGGGCGAUAUGAAUCCAAUAUCACCGGUAUCCUUAUAAGAAGAGGAGAUUCGGACACAGAGACAGAGACACCCGAAAGAGAUGCCAUGUGAAGAUGGAGGCAGAGAUUGGAGCGAAGCAUCUAGAAGCCAAGGAACACCGGCAACCACCGGUGCCGGCAAGGAUUGCCGGCAACCACCAGAGCCUGGAGAGGGGCAUGGAGCAGAAUCUCCCUCGGACCCCCCAGAAGGGACGAACCCUGGCAAUACAUGGCAUUUUGGAUUUUUAGCCUGCA